RNAcentral lists this transfer RNA (71 nucleotides) under Ovis aries (sheep). It matches the Rfam family "tRNA". From Rfam's summary of the family: Transfer RNA (tRNA) molecules are approximately 80 nucleotides in length. Their secondary structure includes four short double-helical elements and three loops (D, anti-codon, and T loops). Further hydrogen bonds mediate the characteristic L-shaped molecular structure. tRNAs have two regions of fundamental functional importance: the anti-codon, which is responsible for specific mRNA codon recognition, and the 3' end, to which the tRNAs corresponding amino acid is attached (by aminoacyl-tRNA synthetases). tRNAs cope with the degeneracy of the genetic code in two manners: having more than one tRNA (with a specific anti-codon) for a particular amino acid; and 'wobble' base-pairing, i.e. permitting non-standard base-pairing at the 3rd anti-codon position. Lineage: Eukaryota; Metazoa; Chordata; Mammalia; Artiodactyla; Bovidae. The record is from Rfam by way of RNAcentral.
UCCUUGGUGGCUCAGUGGUAAAGAAUCUGCCUGAAAUGCAGGAGACAUGGGUUCAGUUCCCGGUCCAGGAA